This 305-nucleotide ribosomal RNA is filed under the name Lactiplantibacillus plantarum. RNAcentral's name for it is "bacterial SSU rRNA". It matches the Rfam family "Bacterial small subunit ribosomal RNA", at positions 57 to 326 of the family's 1533-position model. The record is from RNAcentral. Lineage: Bacteria; Bacillati; Bacillota; Bacilli; Lactobacillales; Lactobacillaceae.
CCUAUCAGCAAGUCGAACGAACUCUGGUAUUGAUUGGUGCUUGCAUCAUGAUUUACAUUUGAGUGAGUGGCGAACUGGUGAGUAACACGUGGGAAACCUGCCCAGAAGCGGGGGAUAACACCUGGAAACAGAUGCUAAUACCGCAUAACAACUUGGACCGCAUGGUCCGAGUUUGAAAGAUGGCUUCGGCUAUCACUUUUGGAUGGUCCCGCGGCGUAUUAGCUAGAUGGUGAGGUAACGGCUCACCAUGGCAAUGAUACGUAGCCGACCUGAGAGGGUAAUCGGCCACAUUGGGGACUGAGACA